Molecule: non-coding RNA, 21 nt
Filed under: Arabidopsis thaliana (thale cress)
Lineage: Eukaryota; Viridiplantae; Streptophyta; Magnoliopsida; Brassicales; Brassicaceae
Source: RNAcentral
GCAACGUUAGGGAGUCCGGAG